GACGAACGCUGGCGGCGUGCCUAACACAUGCAAGUCGAACGGAACUGCAAUGAACAAGACUUCGGUCAAGUGAGUUGUACGUUUAGUUUAGUGGCGGACGGUGAGUAACGCGUGGGUAACCUGCCUCAUACAGGGGGAUAACAGUUGGAAACGACUGUUAAUACCGCAUAAGCGCACAAAACCGCAUGGUUUUGUGUGAAAAAACUCCGGUGGUAUGAGAUGGACCCGCGUCUGAUUAGCUGGUUGGUGAGGUUAACGGCCCACCAAGGCGACGAUCAGUAGCCGCCUGAGAGGGUGAACGGCCGACAUUGGGACUGAGACACGG
RNAcentral lists this ribosomal RNA (325 nucleotides) under uncultured bacterium. Its description in RNAcentral is "bacterial SSU rRNA". It matches the Rfam family "Bacterial small subunit ribosomal RNA", at positions 28 to 329 of the family's 1533-position model. The record is from RNAcentral.